ACUUUCACACUGGGCAACCGACUCAGCAGUCAGCGCACACCGCCGCCGGCUCUUGUAACCCGCAAUGGCGAGGCCUUCACGCCAAACCCUGGCCCUGCCGUCCGCGACCUCCCUCCGCCGCCUGUACGGCAACUCGAAGCCGCCUCCUCCCCCGGCCUCGGCGUUCCGGAGAGCCGCGUCGGUGCUCCUCCUCGCCGCGGCCGUGGCGCUGCCCUGCGCCGUGCUGUACCGAGCCGUCGUGUCGAAUGCGCCUCCGCCGGUGCAGGUCGUGUGGGAUCGCUGGCCCUCGAGGGAGUGGGGCCCGCCACGAGCUCCGGUUGUGGUCCCCGAGGCCGAGGAGGACCGCGACCUCGACCACAUUUCCGCCGACGAUCUGGACAGUGAAUAUCUCAAACUUGAGCAAGUUCUACAAGCGGCUUCUAUGGACAAUAAGACCAUUAUAUUGACGACGCUUAAUGCUGCAUGGUCUUCUCCAGGCUCAGUUAUAGAUCUUUUCAUUGAUAGCUUCCGGCAUGGUGUUAGAACUAGUUCACUACUGAAACACCUUGUGAUAAUAGCCUUCGACAGGAAAGCAUAUAGACGAUGUACUGAGAUCCAUACCUACUGUUAUGCUCUUGUAACCGGUAAUGUGGACUUUUCUCAAGAGAAGAGGUUUCUGACUGCUGGGUAUCUGGAGAUGAUGUGGAAAAGGCUGGAUUUCUUGCGCCUAGUUCUUGAAAAAGGUUACAGCUUCAUUUUCUCGGAUGCAGAUAUAAUGUGGUUUCGCAAUCCAUUUCCAUAUUUUUAUCCGGAUGGAGAUCUUCAGGUUGCAUGUGAUCACUAUGUAGGCAAUGCAACUGACUUGAGAAACAUAGCUAAUGGGGGGUUCAACUAUGUGAAGUCGAACAAUCAAAGCAUAGAGUUUUACAAGUUUUGGUAUUCUUCACGACUGAGAUACCCUGGUUAUCAUGACCAGGAUGUACUUAAUUUUAUUAAGCAUGAUCCUUACAUUAUGGAUAUUGGAUUAACCAUUAAGUUUUUAAGUACUACAUACUUUGGUGGUAUUUGUGAGCCAAGCAAAGAUUUAAACGAGGUUUGCACAAUGCAUGCUAACUGUUGCAUUGGAUUGCAAAGCAAACUUCAUGAUUUAAGAAUCAUCAUGGAAGAUUGGAGGGAUUAUAUGUCUAUGCCACCAAGCUUAAAAACAUCUGGGGCAUUCUCAUGGAGGGUACCACAAAAUUGCAGUCUUUCAUUGUUAAACCAGUGAGACAUGUUUUUGGAUGCAAAUGGUGUGGUAUAGUCAAACAUGUCAAUUUCUGAGAAUUUUGUUGGCAACUGGAAAGAAAAAUGUACUUGAAAGGAAAAACCAGUGCAUGAGGAACUCCACCUUUUGUUUAAGAAAGACCCGGUUUAGCCAGAUUAUAUCUUGAGGACUCUGCCAGUUGAUGCCUUCAUCAGUGUUAUGCAUCCUCUACUUUGGAAAAAUAACCAACACGAAGGUGCAAGCUGUUUCUGUUCUCCAGUUUCCAUUUGACAGUGGAGCUGCAGCCUUAUGUGCAUAUUUUUUAAUUGCAUCAGUUAUGUAUACGUUCAUCUAUUUGAUAAGCACUGCGAGAGAGACAGUUGUAGAAUCAAACUGAGGGACACUAAUAGAGGCGAUCUGGACACAGGAUUGGCAGAUAAGUGACUAUACUACUUAAAUCACCUUAACUGAUGAUUUCCAGAAGCCUGACACAUAGUUUCCAGUUUCCUUGCCUUUUAGUGGAAGCCCUUUUUCUCCUCUUAUUGAUAGUCUAAAAACUAGCAUGAUGAAACUUGAUAAUUGUCGCAAUGUUCAAGAAUGAACUUUUAGAACGUGGCGGUGAAUCUUAAUUCGUGACUUGUGACAUUAUCAAUAGGGAACAUUCCAAGUUCAAGGGUUGAAGGCAUCAGCACAGCAAAAGAUGAACUGGCUAUGACUUCCCAGUGUAUCAUCCAUGACCAUGCGGAAUGACUGAAUGAGGGGUGGAAUGGUAUUUUCAGUGUUUAUAGGAUUCCUGUUGUUUCUAAUGCAUUGAGGCUCACUUGAUUCAUUUGGUAAAGUGAAUGAAAAGCAUGAGAAUAUAAAUUUUCCUUUGAUGGCACAUUCUUUUGAUUGAUUCAAAGGAAUGGAGUAAAGAAAUAUAAAUGGAACUACAACUAUCAUCCGAUCUCAGAUUCAAGUGAAACAACGCAGGAUUUCUAGAAAGAUUUCCAGAAAUGACAUAAAUGAAAGUCUGUUUUCCCAUUGACAUUGCUUUGACUUUUAUUUCACUGUGCUUAUUUGAGUCAUGUGUUUUUCGGUGAAUCGUGUACAAACUUAUGUGGUUUCCCAGGCUCUGGUUUGUACAUGUGUUCUUAUCAUAUUCUAGUGUUCUACUACCUCUGUAGUGUGUACACUAAUUAUAAGACGUUUUUGCAGUUCAAUAGUGUACAGAGGGAGUAUUUCAUAUAUUACCAAAUCCUGUGAAUCAAGAGGUUCAAUACCGAGGAAGGAACUUCAGUUGAUAUCCACUAGAAAAUCGAAAUACCGAGGAAGGAAUUUUUUUUUUGACAGAACCGAGGAAGGAAUUUUAGUUACUAUCCACUAGAAAAUGGAAACCAAUUGUACGUCAUGCAAAAGAGAAGUGUUUUAGGCUGCUAGCUAUUUUGACCUCAUUAAUUGUUAAACACAAACCCAUUGAGGCAAGGAAAUAUACAGAUUGUAGCUGGCAGAAUCAUGCAAAUUUAAGAAAGUUCAAAUUUAAGUCGUUCGAAUGAGAGUUUUCCUUAUCGGUAAACUUUGAUUUCAUUUAGGCAAACAGAACCAGGACUACCAACAACACUGAAACUGUAAAACCAUGUGUCCUACAGGAGGAUCACCUGAAGUGAAGUGCAGGGUCCAAAAUGUAUGUUUUUCUCUACAAUGCUCAAGCGCUCAGCCACAAUCAUGAUCUCGCUAUUAUGUCAAGCAGGACAAUCCCCUACUCUGAUGAAUCUUCCGGAGCACGUCGUUGAUGGAGGUAACCUGCUACUCAUCAGGCGCACACAUCCUCCUUUCGCUUGCUCAGAUGAUGGUGUCCACUUCGAAGACAGUGAGCGAAAUCAACCACAGCACAUCAUUUCAGUUAGACAUACCUUAUCUUAUCACGAAACCGGGGUCUUAUCCGCGAUGCUCUACUCUGACAUGCUCGGAGCUCGUUGGGCUUUCUUUCAGUUGAAAUCACACCUUCUGUCCAAAGUUGCACUCAUGAUCACUUUCUUUCUGACGGUUGCUUUUGCACAUGUUUUGAUUCUACUCAUCCGUGGCCGAAGGACGGCGAACCCGUAUACCUACCUGAGACUGUUGAAUGCCACUGAACUUGAUCAUCCUUCGUUGAGUGGUAAAAGAUCACCGCCGCAGUGGCGGCAUCAGGUCCUCAGCGGCAUGAUACCAUGUGCUGAACCUGGGCGUCGACGGUGAGAAAAUCCGGCGAGCAAAACUGCAGCCCGUGUGCUAAAAUCCGGCUGGCAUUGUUUGUGUUGGAAGCGAAACCACGUCUGCUCGUGCGAGGUUCUUUUUUCCGGGAGUCUGGUACGAGAUCCUGUGCGGUGUGCCUAUCAUGGCCGAAGCCAGCGCACAAUGCAAAGUUCAGGACGAUUGGUCCCUUGGAAUAAAUCUCGGUGGAUAUGAUACCAUGCAUGCAAAUAUAAUUGAGCAUCAUAUGUUUUCUUCUUUUCA
Triticum aestivum (bread wheat) is the source of this 3697-nucleotide RNA transcript. RefSeq lists it as uncharacterized. The transcript has 7 exons. Lineage: Eukaryota; Viridiplantae; Streptophyta; Magnoliopsida; Poales; Poaceae. The record is from RefSeq and is a predicted model, not a curated record.